Molecule: small nuclear RNA, 322 nt
Filed under: Ophiophagus hannah (king cobra)
Lineage: Eukaryota; Metazoa; Chordata; Lepidosauria; Squamata; Elapidae
Description: 7SK RNA
Rfam family: 7SK RNA (bases 1-235)
About the family: 7SK was discovered as an abundant small nuclear RNA in the mid-70s but a possible function has only recently been suggested. Two independent studies have found that 7SK RNA binds the CDK9/cyclin T complex (known as elongation factor P-TEFb).
Source: Rfam by way of RNAcentral
GGAUGUGAAGGUGAUCUGCCUGCAACAUCUGUCACCCCAUGGAUCACCAGGCUGAUCUAGCUGGCUAGGUGUGUGUCUUCUUCCUUACUCAGUGCUCCAUGUGCAUCCAUCCCAAAGCUGUGUACUCAGUGGAACAAGAUGUCAUCCCAGAUAGAAGUGUACCAAUCUUCAGUCAAGCUAUACAAUAGUUGUGCUCCCUGUAGACUAUAUUAACAUCUGUCAAAAGUAUUUUGCCUCAGAUAUGAUCACACCAGUGUUUGAGUAAGGAUGGUACUGGAAUUGACCAUUAUUGAUAUUUUAUAAAGUAAAACCAUUGUUUAAU